ACCUUGACGUUAGAAGAUAAUAUAAAUUUUUGAGUAGCAUUUUUCUUUUAACGUCAGGAUGUCUAUUAAGAGUGUAUGGUGUUGGA
Molecule: unclassified non-coding RNA, 86 nt
Filed under: Crithidia fasciculata
Lineage: Eukaryota; Euglenozoa; Kinetoplastea; Trypanosomatida; Trypanosomatidae
Source: RNAcentral